UUAAGCGACUAAGCGUACACGGUGGAUGCCCUGGCAGUCAGAGGCGAUGAAGGACGUGCUAAUCUGCGAAAAGCGUCGGUAAGGUGAUAUGAACCGUUAUAACCGGCGAUGUCCGAAUGGGGAAACCCAGUGCAAUUCGUUGCACUAUCGUUAACUGAAUACAUAGGUUAACGAGGCGAACCGGGGGAACUGAAACAUCUAAGUACCCCGAGGAAAAGAAAUCAACCGAGAUUCCCCCAGUAGCGGCGAGCGAACGGGGAGCAGCCCAGAGUCUGAAUCAGCUUGUGUGUUAGUGGAACGGUCUGGAAAGUCCGACGGUACAGGGUGAUAGUCCCGUACACCAAAAUGCACAGGUUGUGAACUCGAAGAGUAGGGCGGGACACGUGGUAUCCUGUCUGAAUAUGGGGGGACCAUCCUCCAAGGCUAAAUACUCCUGACUGACCGAUAGUGAACCAGUACCGUGAGGGAAAGGCGAAAAGAACCCCGGCGAGGGGAGUGAAAAAGAACCUGAAACCGUGUACGUACAAGCAGUGGGAGCACCUUCGGGUGUGACUGCGUACCUUUUGUAUAAUGGGUCAGCGACUUAUAUUCUGUAGCAAGGUUAACCGUAUAGGGGAGCCGCAGGGAAACCGAGUCUUAACUGGGCGUUAAGUUGCAGGGUAUAGACCCGAAACCCGGUGAUCUAGCCAUGGGCAGGUUGAAGGUUGGGUAACACUAACUGGAGGACCGAACCGACUAAUGUUGAAAAAUUAGCGGAUGACUUGUGGCUGGGGGUGAAAGGCCAAUCAAACCGGGAGAUAGCUGGUUCUCCCCGAAAGCUAUUUAGGUAGCGCCUCGUGAAUUCAUCUUCGGGGGUAGAGCACUGUUUCGGCUAGGGGGUCAUCCCGACUUACCAACCCGAUGCAAACUACGAAUACCGAAGAAUGUUAUCACGGGAGACACACGGCGGGUGCUAACGUCCGUCGUGAAGAGGGAAACAACCCAGACCGCCAGCUAAGGUCCCAAAGUCAUGGUUAAGUGGGAAACGAUGUGGGAAGGCACAGACAGCCAGGAUGUUGGCUUAGAAGCAGCCAUCAUUUAAAGAAAGCGUAAUAGCUCACUGGUCGAGUCGGCCUGCGCGGAAGAUGUAACGGGGCUAAACCAUGCACCGAAGCUGCGGCAGCGACACUAUGUGUUGUUGGGUAGGGGAGCGUUCUGUAAGCCUGCGAAGGUGACCUGUGAGGGUUGCUGGAGGUAUCAGAAGUGCGAAUGCUGACAUAAGUAACGAUAAAGCGGGUGAAAAGCCCGCUCGCCGGAAGACCAAGGGUUCCUGUCCAACGUUAAUCGGGGCAGGGUGAGUCGACCCCUAAGGCGAGGCCGAAAGGCGUAGUCGAUGGGAAACAGGUUAAUAUUCCUGUACUUGGUGUUACUGCGAAGGGGGGACGGAGAAGGCUAUGUUAGCCGGGCGACGGUUGUCCCGGUUUAAGCAUGUAGGCUGGUUGUCCAGGCAAAUCCGGAUAAUCAAGGCUGAGGUGUGAUGACGAGGCACUACGGUGCUGAAGUAACAAAUGCCCUGCUUCCAGGAAAAGCCUCUAAGCAUCAGGUAACAUCAAAUCGUACCCCAAACCGACACAGGUGGUCAGGUAGAGAAUACCAAGGCGCUUGAGAGAACUCGGGUGAAGGAACUAGGCAAAAUGGUGCCGUAACUUCGGGAGAAGGCACGCUGGUGUGUAGGUGAAGUCCCUGCGGAUGGAGCUGAGACCAGUCGAAGAUACCAGCUGGCUGCAACUGUUUAUUAAAAACACAGCACUGUGCAAACACGAAAGUGGACGUAUACGGUGUGACGCCUGCCCGGUGCCGGAAGGUUAAUUGAUGGGGUUAUCCGUAAGGAGAAGCUCUUGAUCGAAGCCCCGGUAAACGGCGGCCGUAACUAUAACGGUCCUAAGGUAGCGAAAUUCCUUGUCGGGUAAGUUCCGACCUGCACGAAUGGCGUAAUGAUGGCCAGGCUGUCUCCACCCGAGACUCAGUGAAAUUGAACUCGCUGUGAAGAUGCAGUGUACCCGCGGCAAGACGGAAAGACCCCGUGAACCUUUACUAUAGCUUGACACUGAACAUUGAGCCUUGAUGUGUAGGAUAGGUGGGAGGCUUUGAAGCGUGGACGCCAGUCUGCGUGGAGCCAACCUUGAAAUACCACCCUUUAAUGUUUGAUGUUCUAACGUUGGCCCCUNCGGGGUUGCGGACAGUGUCUGGUGGGUAGUUUGACUGGGGCGGUCUCCUCCCAAAGCGUAACGGAGGAGCACGAAGGUUAGCUAAUCCUGGUCGGACAUCAGGAGGUUAGUGCAAUGGCAUAAGCUAGCUUGACUGCGAGCGUGACGGCGCGAGCAGGUGCGAAAGCAGGUCAUAGUGAUCCGGUGGUUCUGAAUGGAAGGGCCAUCGCUCAACGGAUAAAAGGUACUCCGGGGAUAACAGGCUGAUACCGCCCAAGAGUUCAUAUCGACGGCGGUGUUUGGCACCUCGAUGUCGGCUCAUCACAUCCUGGGGCUGAAGUAGGUCCCAAGGGUAUGGCUGUUCGCCAUUUAAAGUGGUACGCGAGCUGGGUUUAGAACGUCGUGAGACAGUUCGGUCCCUAUCUGCCGUGGGCGCUGGAGAAUUGAGGGGGGCUGCUCCUAGUACGAGAGGACCGGAGUGGACGCAUCACUGGUGUUCGGGUUGUCAUGCCAAUGGCACUGCCCGGUAGCUAAAUGCGGAAGAGAUAAGUGCUGAAAGCAUCUAAGCACGAAACUUGCCCCGAGAUGAGUUCUCCCUGAGACUUUAAGUCUCCUGAAGGAACGUUGAAGACGACGACGUUGAUAGGCCGGGUGUGUAAGCGCAGCGAUGCGUUGAGCUAACCGGUACUAAUGAACCGUGAGGCUUAACCUU
Molecule: ribosomal RNA, 2898 nt
Filed under: Klebsiella pneumoniae
Lineage: Bacteria; Pseudomonadati; Pseudomonadota; Gammaproteobacteria; Enterobacterales; Enterobacteriaceae
Description: bacterial LSU rRNA
Rfam family: Bacterial large subunit ribosomal RNA
Source: RNAcentral